GAUGAACGCUGGCGGCGUGCUUAACACAUGCAAGUCGAACGGAAAGGCUCCUGCUUGCAGGGGUACUCGAGUGGCGAACGGGUGAGUAACACGUGGGUGAUCUGCCCUGCACUUCGGGAUAAGCCUGGGAAACUGGGUCUAAUACCGGAUAGGACGAUGGUUUGGAUGCCAUUGUGGAAAGUUUUUUCGGUGUGGGAUGAGCUCGCGGCCUAUCAGCUUGUUGGUGGGGUAAUGGCCUACCAAGGCGUCGACGGGUAGCCGGCCUGAGAGGGUGUACGGCCACAUUGGGACUGAGAUACGGCCCAGACUCCUACGGGAGGCAGAAGUGGGGAAUAGUGCACAAUGGGCGCAAGCCUGAUGCAGAGACGCAGCGUGGGGGAUGACGGCCUUCGGGUUGGAAACUCCUUUCGCUAGGGACGAAGGGAAAGUGACGGUACCUGGAGAAGAAGCACCGGCUAACUACGUG
Molecule: ribosomal RNA, 466 nt
Filed under: uncultured bacterium
Lineage: Bacteria
Description: partial 16S ribosomal RNA
Rfam family: Bacterial small subunit ribosomal RNA
Source: RNAcentral